CAAUAGCGUAUAUUAAAGUUGUUGCGGUUAAAAAGCUCGUAGUUGGAUUUCUGCCGAGGACGACCGGUCCGCCCUCUGGGUGUGUAUCUGGUUUGGCCUGGGCAUCUUCUUGGAGAACGUAGCUGCACUUGACUGUGUGGUGCGGUGUCCAGGACUUUUACUUUGAGGAAAUUAGAGUGUUUCAAGCAGGCACACGCCUUGAAUACAUUAGCAUGGAAUAAUAAGAUAGGACCUCGGUUCUAUUUUGUUGGUUUCUAGAGCUGAGGUAAUGAUUAAUAGGGAUAGUUGGGGGCAUUCGUAUUUAAUAGCUAGAGGUAAAAUUCUUGGAUUUGUUAAAGACGGACUACUGCGAAAGCAUUUGCCAAGGAUGUUUUCAUUGA
RNAcentral lists this ribosomal RNA (380 nucleotides) under uncultured eukaryote. RNAcentral's name for it is "partial 18S ribosomal RNA". It matches the Rfam family "Eukaryotic small subunit ribosomal RNA", at positions 592 to 976 of the family's 1831-position model. The record is from RNAcentral.